UCUACAUACUAGCGAGACACCCCACAUGUCCUCCAAAUGGUAAGCAUGAUAUACAUUAGAGGCGAUCACACAAGAGAAAGAGAAACCCCAUAAGUCAUGGACUUAUGGGUUUUCAUAUCCGAAUAGAAUUAAAGGAUUUAUUUACCAACAAUAUCUCUGGCUGCUUAUUAUUCUACUGAAGGCCAUGACUUGAUUGUAUUUUGUUUCUCUAUUGUCAAUGGUUUUUUCGUAUUUGUUUACAACUUAAUGAUGGAUUCAAGUGAAGAUGACGUUGCUCAACAAUAUAAACGCAAAAGAGGGCAUACAAACGUACAGAAAUACAAGAAUGCAGUUAUAAAGAAAGCAAGACUGACAGGUGAAGCAUAUAUUAACUGUUCUGGAAAAUAUAUUGCUGCCAAGACUCCAGAUGCAGGCGAAAAUGCUACACUGUGAUAUCAAAGCAGGAACAAGUGAUAAUGUCUAAAUUUCACAGUUUCGAGACAAAGAACGAGCAGGAUAGCUAUUUACAGAGUUUGAUAUCUACUACCAAAGUGCAUCGGCGCAGACGACGCAAGAGAGCAGAAGAAUCAUCAAACCUUCACGAGGUUGUACUUUUGUUUAUGAAAUCUCAACAUCUUCAGGCAAGUACCGAGUGUACAAAAAAGCUUUUGUAAAUAUGCAUGGAAUAACAUGAUAGAGUGCGUAGACUGUCGUCAUUACUUUGUGAAGGCAAAUCGUCACAAGACAAACGUGGGCUUAAUGUUCCUGGGAAUGCAAAAUCAGGCACUGUUAUUGAUGCUGUUAAAUUACAUAUUGCCUCCGUUCCUGUUAAGACAUAUCAUUACAGUGCCCGGGAAUAUAAUUAUUUGGAUGCGAAACUUAAUGUUAAGAUCAUGCACUCUUUGUACAGACGUGACUGUCCUGGUCAAACAGUAAGUUAUGAUUACUACUUGAAAAUUUUCAAAGAAAAUUUCUCCUUGUCUUUUGGCCGUCCGCAAGUUGAUAAAUGCUGUAGUGUGUUUUUUAUCGAUAGUCUAAAAGAUGGGAGUGCUUUUUUUUUGUUUACCAUGAAGGAGUGGCAGGAAAAGGGCCUAAUGAGGUCUGCACAUUCUUAAUGAGAUGCAUUGAAUCAGCUGUAAGAAAAAGUGUGAAGCAUUUUCACAUUUUUUCAGAUGGUUGUGGAGCACAGAAUGGAAAUCACACUAUACCUAAUCAGACUCUUUUCAACAUUGACUACCACAGGCAGAUUCGAAACAGUAGAUCAAUAUUACCCAAUGAGGGGUCACAGUUUUUUGCCGUGUGAUCGGGAUUUUGCCAUACUGAAAAGAAAAAUCUAACGAAGAGAUCGGGUGUAUAUGGUUAAGGAAUACAUGGAAAUCAUGCUCAACUCUUCCAAUAAACAGGCAUUCCUGGCAUUAUUGAUUGAAGAUUCAACUGAAAUCAUUGACUUCAAAAGUUGGUGGCCAUUCUACUUUAAGAAAUCAAUGUUGUCUGCAGAAUCUGCAGAAAGAAGCAUACCUAAGGAUCGAAAAAUAACUUUGCAGCCGUCAAAGUUCAUGCACUUCUCACACACAAGUACUACACCCGGUGUAGUAUUGGCUAGGGACUAUAUUAAUGGACUGUUGACAAGUACAUUCCACAUUCGCAACACAAGGAAGGGAAUGAUUGCCCUCCCGACAACUACUGCCUAUCCUGCUGGGAAACGUCCUAUUCAGAGGAAAAUAUGGAGGAUCUGCAGAAAUUGAGUAUGUACCUACCUCAUGAUGUGAAUGUACAGCAGUGCUAUCAACAUCUUUUCGACUGGCCUACAUGCGAUAAGGAUGUCUCUGAUGUUGCAUGAAACAUUAUAAUGUAGCCAACAGUGAAGAAAUUUUUUUAACAUGUUAUGAUGGGUUUUGAGGGUUUCCUGUAAGAGUAAUGUUAUAUUCAAAACAAUGUCAUUUGGAUAAAGUUUUUGUAUGCAUGUAUUUUGUCUUAUACAUUUUGUUUGUACAUUAGUAACUCAAACUAACAAGUUAUAUAAUAAACACUGCCAUCUCUUACUUCGUAAAACCCCAAAAUUGUACCCAAUAUCCUAUAAGAUUGAGUAAACCCAUAAGUCCAUGACUUUUAAUAAUUUUUAUUUAAAAAUCCAUUACAUUUAUGCAAAAUUAUUUUAUUGUAUAGGUUGGGUAACAAUACUAAAUUAAUUAUCACUUUCAUAAAA
Bacillus rossius redtenbacheri is the source of this 2185-nucleotide long non-coding RNA. RefSeq lists it as uncharacterized. The transcript is spliced from 2 exons. The record is from RefSeq and is a predicted model, not a curated record. NCBI's taxonomy places the organism in Eukaryota, Metazoa, Arthropoda, Insecta, Phasmatodea, Bacillidae.